UGGGGAAUAUUGCACAAUGGGCGCAAGCCUGAUGCAGCCAUGCCGCGUGUAUGAAGAAGGCCUUCGGGUUGUAAAGUACUUUCAGCGAGGAGGAAGGCGUUGUGGUUAAUAACCGCAACGAUUGACGUUACUCGCAGAAGAAGCACCGGCUAACUCCGUGCCAGCAGCCGCGGUAAUACGGAGGGUGCAAGCGUUAAUCGGAAUUACUGGGCGUAAAGCGCACGCAGGCGGUCUGUCAAGUCGGAUGUGAAAUCCCCGGGCUCAACCUGGGAACUGCAUCCGAAACUGGUAGGCUAGAGUCUUGUAGAGGGGGGUAGAAUUCCAGGUGUAGCGGUGAAAUGCGUAGAGAUCUGGAGGAAUACCGGUGGCGAAGGCGGCCCCCUGGACAAAGACUGACGCUCAGGUGCGAAAGCGUGGGGAGCAAACA
RNAcentral lists this ribosomal RNA (427 nucleotides) under uncultured bacterium. RNAcentral's name for it is "partial 16S ribosomal RNA". It matches the Rfam family "Bacterial small subunit ribosomal RNA", at positions 355 to 774 of the family's 1533-position model. The record is from RNAcentral.